Oncorhynchus tshawytscha (Chinook salmon) is the source of this 1559-nucleotide long non-coding RNA. The record is from Ensembl. Lineage: Eukaryota; Metazoa; Chordata; Actinopteri; Salmoniformes; Salmonidae.
AAAGGCGUCAGUCAGAACAUACCAGCUCGUAACUGGUACAUACUGUUCCAUCUCCAGACCUAGGGCUGUUAUGGUGACUGUAUUACCGACACACCGGCAGUCACAAGUCAUGACUGCAGUCAAAUUCCACGUGACCAUUUAGUCCUGGUUAUUAGGCUUCUCCAAGCUCUGACACUACUGAUGGUCAUUAAUAGCCCACCAAACUAAAGGGGUGCUGGCAGUUUGAUGUUGAUUGACACCCCAUUUCACCUCUUGUUGAAAGAAGCAUUUAUUUUGACAUUCGGCAGCGCAUUUUUCAAAUCGAGGAAGAGAGAAUAUUAAUGUUGGUUGCGAGAUACAGAAGAAUAAGAAUAAGAGGAACAUACAGAAGAAGAGAGAAUGUUUCCACAGCUCCACAAGCUCUUUUCGCGAUUGGCGAAAGCAUCAUAUUUUAAGUUCAUCUGAAGUGGCUUGCAGUUCAGAAAGAGCUGUAUCCACAGCAGCAGCCCAGGAAGCUACAGAGACUUACGGAUGUAAGGUUGGCAUGCAGAUACAUGGCAAGCCGUAAUCUGAGGGACAGGCUUCCAGCAGUUCUGAGAGUGCCACAGGAUAUCACACUUGAAAAUAGCGGUGAUAGAUCAGUGGAGGCAAGGGGCCUUCUUUCUCAGAUAGAUUUACAUUUCAUAGGGCUUUUGGUUACCUUUUGUAAAGUGAUUGGUGAUGCCAAAUGUCUUUCUGACAUACUCCAAUCAAGGUCUCUUGACCUAGCAAGAGCUGUGGAUCUAGUAGGUUCCCUUACAGACACAUUACAGGACUACAGAAGUGAGGGUUACAUUGGAGAACUAUGGAAAGAGAUUGAAGAGAUUGCAGAGCAACCCAAAGAGUACAGCAUUCUUGAAUGAGGAUCCUCUGUUUGCCUUUGCUCAGACCUUUGAGUCAAACAUGAGGUUCAUCAAACCAAGCGGCUUUUUGAUAGGAGAGAGAAACGUGGAAGCGACAGACCGUCUACUCUCCUUGACUUGGUUGUGUUUCUAGAACCUUAUAAAGAGGUCUUCCAGAGCUAUUUCGACUUUGUAAGAUUUCUGUUGUUAAACACCAGUCAGCAGUGCUUCUUGCGAGAGAAGCUUCUCAGCUUCAAAACGGAUUAAAACCCACCUGAGGACAAUAACGGUUGAUGACAGGUUGUCACCUCGGAAUGCUCGGUGUUGAGUCAAGGAGGGCACGCUCCCUCAACAUGGAUGAGUUUGUGAAACAUUUUGCCAGUUCUCACCAGAACCGCAGAAGUAUGCUGUUUUAAACCUACCUAGGAUAAUUUGGCACUUAGGCUGUCCCUCUGGUCAUGAUUAAAACCUACACUGUGUACUACCUAGUACACUGACAUUCUAAAAUUAUAAAUCCCAAGGGAAUCAUGUCACACAGGUUUAAUUUAGUAUUGAUUAAGCUAAUACCAAAACUUUUCUUUGCUAUUAGUUAACAUAAUAUAUAUGAGCAUAAAUAUGAUACUGUAAGUUUGUAAAAUUGAUGGGCACCAUUUUUUUUUAUCCAUUUAUGCUUGAUACCUGGUAUGUCAAAUUGCAGUC